This 414-nucleotide ribosomal RNA is filed under the name uncultured microorganism. RNAcentral's name for it is "bacterial SSU rRNA". It matches the Rfam family "Archaeal small subunit ribosomal RNA", at positions 330 to 745 of the family's 1478-position model. The record is from RNAcentral.
GUGCACCAGUCGCGAAACCUUCGCAAUGCGGGAAACCGCGACGAGGGGACUCCCAGUGCCUACGCUCAGCGUAGGCUGUUCCCGAGCCUAGAAAGCUCGGGGAGUAAGGGCUGGGUAAGACGGGUGCCAGCCGCCGCGGUAAUACCCGCAGCCCGAGUGGUGGCCACUAUUAUUGGGCCUAAAGCGUCCGUAGCCGGCCCGGUAAAUGCCUGGGUAAAUCGUGAGGCCUAACCUCACGAAUUCCGGGUAGACUGCCGGGCUAGGGACCGGAGGAGGGAGAGGGGUACUCCAGGGGUAGGGGUGAAAUCCUGUAAUCCCUGGAGGACCACCGGUGGCGAAGGCGCUCUCCUAGGACGGGUCCGACGGUGAGGGACGAAAGCCAGGGGAGCGAACCGGAUUAGAUACCCGCGUAGU